This 484-nucleotide ribosomal RNA is filed under the name uncultured bacterium. RNAcentral describes it as "partial 16S ribosomal RNA". It matches the Rfam family "Bacterial small subunit ribosomal RNA", at positions 30 to 507 of the family's 1533-position model. The record is from RNAcentral.
AUUGAACGCUAGCGGGAUGCUUUACACAUGCAAGUCGAGCGGCAGCGCGGACUUCGGUCUGGCGGCGAGUGGCGAACGGGUGAGUAAUGUAUCGGAACGUGCCCAGUAGCGGGGGAUAACUACGCGAAAGCGUAGCUAAUACCGCAUACGCCCUACGGGGGAAAGCAGGGGAUCGUAAGACCUUGCACUAUUGGAGCGGCCGAUAUCGGAUUAGCUAGUUGGUGAGGUAACGGCUCACCAAGGCGACGAUCCGUAGCUGGUUUGAGAGGACGACCAGCCACACUGGGACUGAGACACGGCCCAGACUCCUACGGGAGGCAGCAGUGGGGAAUUUUGGACAAUGGGGGCAACCCUGAUCCAGCCAUCCCGCGUGUGCGAUGAAGGCCUUCGGGUUGUAAAGCACUUUUGGCAGGAAAGAAACGUCGCGGGCUAAUACCCCGUGGAACUGACGGUACCUGCAGAAUAAGCACCGGCUAACUACGUG